Molecule: ribosomal RNA, 406 nt
Filed under: uncultured bacterium
Lineage: Bacteria
Description: partial 16S ribosomal RNA
Rfam family: Bacterial small subunit ribosomal RNA
Source: RNAcentral
AUUGAACGCUGGCGGCAGGCCUAACACAUGCAAGUCGAACGAGUGGCGGACGGGUGAGUAGUGUCUGGGAAACUCCCUGAUGGAGGGGGAUAACUACUGGACACUAUAGAUAAUACCACAUCCCCGCGGGUGUCCCCAUAUGGGCUUCGCUGGUUGGUGGGGUAACGGCUCCCCCGGGCGCCGAUCCCUAGCUGGUCUUAGAGGAUGAACAGCCACACUGGAACUGAGACACGGUCCAGACUCCUACGGGAGGCAGCAGUGGGGAAUAUUGCACAAUGGGCGCAAGCCUGAUGCAGCCAUGCCGCGUGUAUGAAGAAGGCCUUCGGGUUGUAAAGUACUUUCAGCGAGGAGGCGUUACCCGCAGAAGAAGCACCGGCUAACUCCGUGCCAGCAGCCGCGGUAAUAC